This 302-nucleotide long non-coding RNA is filed under the name Elaeis guineensis (African oil palm). Its description in RNAcentral is "long non-coding RNA (EGUI_LNC081922)". The record is from RNAcentral. Lineage: Eukaryota; Viridiplantae; Streptophyta; Magnoliopsida; Arecales; Arecaceae.
ACAUGGACAAAAAAAUUAAAUACACAUCAAUUUGAAAUAAUUGUGAUGAUAGAUGCAGAAAAAAUUUAAGUAUACCUCAAAUCUUUUUGUUUUCUUUAUAACUUUAGUGAUCGUCUUCAUCUUAAGAGAGAAUGGGACAUUGCUCUAAUGCAGGAGUUGUGGAUACAUGAAUGGCAGCCGAUGGCUUCCCAGAAGGCUGUUGACAUACUCCAUAGCCCCUACAAAAAAACUAAUGUAACAUGAUAUUUGAAGCCAAUCCAUCUUCAACAAUUAAAUUACAAAUAAACAUGAAGAUGCUUACC